This 72-nucleotide transfer RNA is filed under the name Ricinus communis (castor bean). It matches the Rfam family "tRNA". Rfam says of the family: Transfer RNA (tRNA) molecules are approximately 80 nucleotides in length. Their secondary structure includes four short double-helical elements and three loops (D, anti-codon, and T loops). The record is from Rfam by way of RNAcentral. Lineage: Eukaryota; Viridiplantae; Streptophyta; Magnoliopsida; Malpighiales; Euphorbiaceae.
UCCUCAAUAGCUGAGUGGUAGAUCGGUCGGCUAUUAACUGACUGGUUGUAGUUUCGAAUCCUACUUAGGGAG